Molecule: non-coding RNA, 45 nt
Filed under: Mytilus galloprovincialis (Mediterranean mussel)
Lineage: Eukaryota; Metazoa; Mollusca; Bivalvia; Mytilida; Mytilidae
Rfam family: Histone 3' UTR stem-loop
About the family: The mRNAs of metazoan histone genes lack a poly-A tail. 3' end processing occurs at a site between a highly conserved stem-loop (modelled by this family) and a purine rich region around 20 nts downstream (the histone downstream element, or HDE). The stem-loop is bound by a 31 kDa stem-loop binding protein (SLBP - also termed the histone hairpin binding protein, or HBP).
Source: RNAcentral
AAAACGGCCCUUUUAAGUGCCACCAAUAUUGUUUUAAAAAGAAUC